Molecule: ribosomal RNA, 817 nt
Filed under: uncultured bacterium
Lineage: Bacteria
Description: bacterial SSU rRNA
Rfam family: Bacterial small subunit ribosomal RNA
Source: RNAcentral
UGAUUUCUUCGGAAUGAAAGCCUAGUGGCGAAAGGGUGAGGAAUACAUCGAUCAUCUACCCUCGGGACCGGGACAACAGCUGGAAACGGCUGCUAAUACCGGAUCGUCCAGAAAUGGUAAAGGUGGGGACCUUCGGGCCUGCCGCCUGAGGAGGAGUCGAUGCCCUAUCAGCUUGUUGGCGGGGUAACGGCCCACCAAGGCUUAGACGGGUAGCCGGACUGAGAGGUUGACCGGCCACACUGGGACUGAGACACUGCCCAGACUCCUACGGGAGGCUGCAGUCGAGAAUCUUCCGCAAUGGGCGAAAGCCUGACGGAGCGACGCCGCGUGGAGGAAGAAGGCCUUCGGGUUGUAAACUCCUGUCACACGUUAUGAACAAGCCUGAAUUAAUACUUCAGGCCCUGACGUAAGCGUGAAAGGAAGUCACGGCUAACUUCGUGCCAGCAGCCGCGGUAAGACGAAGGUGACAAACGUUGCUCGGAAUUACUGGGCAUAAAGAGCGCGUAGGUGGCUUGGUAAGCGGAGAAUGAAAUCCCAUGGCUCACCCAUGGAACUGUUCUUCGAACUGCCUUGCUUGAGGACGGGAGGGGGAAGUGGAAUUCCUGGUGUAGCGGUGAAAUGCGUAGAUAUCAGGAGGAACGCCGGUGGCGAAAGCGACUUCCUGGCCCGUUCCUGACACUGAGGCGCGAAAGCUAGGGGAGCAAACAGGAUUAGAUACCCUGGUAGUCCUAGCUGUAAACGAUGGGCACUGGGUAGAGGGGGCGUCGAUACCUUCUCUGCCGUAGCUAAUGUGUUAAGUGCCCCGCCUGGGGAGUAC